RNAcentral lists this ribosomal RNA (451 nucleotides) under uncultured bacterium. Its description in RNAcentral is "partial 16S ribosomal RNA". It matches the Rfam family "Bacterial small subunit ribosomal RNA", at positions 28 to 507 of the family's 1533-position model. The record is from RNAcentral.
GAUGAACGCUGGCGGCGUGCCUAACACAUGCAAGUCGAGCGGCAGCGCGGGGUGCUUGCACCCUGUCGGCGAGCGGCGGACGGCUGAGUAACGCGUGGGAACGUGCCCCAACGUGAGGAAUAACUGCCCGAAAUGGUAGCUAAUACCGCAUAUUAUCUUCGCAUCAUAGGAUUUAUCCGCUUUGGGAGCGGCUCGCGUCUGAUUAGGUAGUUGGUGAGGGAAUGGCUCACCAAGCCGACGAUCCGGAGCUGGUCUGAGAGGAUGACCAGCCAGACUGGAACUGAGACACGGUCCAGACUCCUACGGGAGGCAGCAGUGAGGAAUCGUACACAAGGGGCGAAAGCCUGAUGGAGCAACGCCGCGUGCAGGACGAAGGCCUUCGGGUUGUAAACUGCUUUUAUAAGUGAGGAAUAUGACGGUAACUUAUGAAUAAGGAUCGGCUAACUACGUG